AUGCAACACAGGUUCCUGGAUGCAAUGGCAAUAGUUCAACGAUGGGGUAAACCGGAUUAUUUUGUCACGAUGACAUGCAAUCCCUACUGGGAGGAGAUAACUAUUGAAUUGUUGCCUGGACAGCUGCCACAAGACCGUCCAGACCUUGUAGCAAGAGUAUCCAGAGCUAAACAACGAUCCAUGAUGGACUUACUGAUUAAGGGUAAGCAUUUUGGAGAAGUUGCGGCUUAUGUACAUGUCACUGAGUUUCAGAAACGAGGCCUCCCUCAUGAGCAUAUACUUCUGAUCAUGAAAGCUAAAAGUAAGUUAAGGACCCCGGAUGACUAUGAUCGGGUGAUAUCGGCAGAAAUACCCGACAAAAAUAAAUGGACAAUGUCGGUUUCAUUACCCGCGAGAUUUCUGUGA
This 405-nucleotide ribosomal RNA is filed under the name Triticum aestivum (bread wheat). Its description in RNAcentral is "partial small subunit ribosomal RNA". Lineage: Eukaryota; Viridiplantae; Streptophyta; Magnoliopsida; Poales; Poaceae. The record is from RNAcentral.